CUCGUUAAGACCGGAGGUGAAAUAGAGAAAAAGAAGAAAAAAAUAAAGGAAACUAAAGUCAUUUCUUUAUCUUGAAUUCAUAACAAAAGCAAAGUACAUGAUAGGUGUAAGAGAUGCAUGCCCAGCAGCAUUACAAACAAAUCCGAAGUCCAAACCCAGUAACAAUUCGAGAUCCCUACUUAAAACAAAUCACAACCUAGCUCGCUACCUUGUAUGCAUCCCUUACAUCCCAUGUUCAUAACAUUAACAACCCAAAAGAAAAAAAAAGCACUAGUUAAUUAGGACAUAUAUGUAAAAGAAACAAAACAAGCUAAGGUUAAACAUGGAACAAAAACAAGGAAACUAAAUUAAAAACAACAGAAGUUAAAAGUAAAAUCGGACCGCUACCCUCAAUUCCCCGCAAUGCAAUAAUGCCGCUCUCCCAAUUCUGCCCCCUCUAGAGGCUAGAAACUCGGGAGAGCGCAAUUGCAAAGCAUGUUGUUUGUGUGUUGUUGUGCCAUCAGCUACCGUCCAUAUCUACUAAAGAACCCUUUUCGACCGUGCCUCCACCUCCUUCGCCACCAGACACCCCAGCCACCGUGGCGGCGAGCCUUGAUGAGCAUCGUUGACAUAUGACCUUUAGUGAAAAGAACUAUAGUGUCAGUCAAUAUGCUUAAGAUAAAUUGUGCAUUAUGAGCUCUAAAACGAAGUGCUAAGUACUAGCUAGAAAAGAAAAGAAAAGAAUGU
Molecule: long non-coding RNA, 726 nt
Filed under: Citrus sinensis (sweet orange)
Lineage: Eukaryota; Viridiplantae; Streptophyta; Magnoliopsida; Sapindales; Rutaceae
Description: long non-coding RNA (CSIN_LNC000677)
Source: RNAcentral